This 386-nucleotide unclassified non-coding RNA is filed under the name uncultured Verrucomicrobiae bacterium. RNAcentral describes it as "contains 16S-23S intergenic spacer region". Lineage: Bacteria; Pseudomonadati; Verrucomicrobiota; Verrucomicrobiia. The record is from RNAcentral.
UCCGGCUUGUCGCCGGCGGUCCCUCUAGAGUGCUUCAAACUCUCGUUCGAGUGGCAACAGGACACAGGGGUUGCGCUCGUUGCGGGACUUAACCCAACAUCUCACGACACGAGCUGACGACGGCCAUGCAGCACCUGUGCAAGCUCCCCUUGCGGGGUCGUCCCACUUUCAUGGUUCUACCACUUGCAUGUCAAGGCCAGGUAAGGUUCUUCGCGUUGCAUCGAAUUAAGCCACAUACUCCACCGCUUGUGCAGGCCCCCGUCAAUUUCUUUGAGUUUUAAUCUUGCGACCGUACUCCCCAGGCGGCAUGUUUAUCGCGUUAGCUUCGCCACAAGAGGGGUCGAUUCCUCUUACAGCAAACAUGCACCGUUUAGGGCUAGGACUAC